This 253-nucleotide ribosomal RNA is filed under the name uncultured bacterium. Its description in RNAcentral is "partial 16S ribosomal RNA". It matches the Rfam family "Bacterial small subunit ribosomal RNA", at positions 524 to 776 of the family's 1533-position model. The record is from RNAcentral.
UACGGAGGGGGCUAGCGUUGUUCGGAAUUACUGGGCGUAAAGCGCACGUAGGCGGCUUUGUAAGUUAGAGGUGAAAGCCCAGAGCUCAACUCUGGAACUGCCUUUAAGACUGCAUCGCUUGAAUUGUGGAGAGGUAAGUGGAAUUCCGAGUGUAGAGGUGAAAUUCGUAGAUAUUCGGAAGAACACCAGUGGCGAAGGCGGCUCACUGGCUCGGUACUGACGCUGAGAUACGAAAGCGUGGGGAGCAAACAGG